ACUUUGCACAGUGACUCGGUUGAUGAGUCUCUUUCUCUCUCUCUCUUCUCCGAUUUCCAUGAAUACCAGCGAGCACCAACGCUGGUCUCUUCUCCUUCUCCCUCUCCCUCUCCCCAAAAUCUAGGGUUCCUGGAUCAUCGCCGAGCUCACUCACAUUCCCCCCCUUCAAUCCAUCUCCGCCACCCCAAACCCUUCCAAUCCCUCGGCGAACGCUCCGGCGAGCCAUUUGAGCCCUACCCCCUCGACUCAUGGCGAAGACCCGACCGGGCCUCAUGGCCAAGCCUAAGCCGGCGAAGAAGGACCUCGACUCCUACACCAUCAGAGGCACCACCAAGGUGGUUCGCGCUGGCGAUUGCGUGCUGAUGCGUCCGUCGGACACCGGGAAGCCCCCGUACGUGGCCCGAAUCGAGAAGAUCGAGUCCGAUGCCCGUAACAACGUGAAAGUGAGGGUGCGAUGGUAUUACAGGCCGGAGGAGUCGAUUGGAGGAAGGAGGCAGUUUCAUGGUGCUAAAGAAUUGUUCUUGUCUGAUCACUUUGAUGUGCAAAGCGCGCAUACUAUUGAAGGCAAAUGCAUUGUGCACUCGUUUAAGAACUAUACGAAGCUUGAGAAUGUUGGAGCGGAGGAUUACUACUGUAGAUUUGAGUAUAAGGCAGCUACUGGGGCGUUUAUACCUGACCGUGUUGCUGUGUACUGCAAGUGUGAGAUGCCGUAUAACCCGGAUGACCUUAUGGUGCAGUGUGAAGGAUGCAAGGACUGGUACCAUCCAGCAUGCGUUGGUAUGACUAUUGAAGAAGCCAAAAAGCUUGAGCACUUUGUCUGCUCCGAAUGUUCGGAUGAUGAGGUCAAGCGAGCAGAAAAUGGAUUUUCUUCAUCACCAGCAGCGGAAGUAAAGAACAUGGAUUCUCCAAGUUAAAGAAGCAGGUGUACUUAUUGUAAACUGACUACAAGGAUGGAUAUCUUGGAAAGAUUCAGGAAAUGGUUGACUCCAAGCGUCGGAAGAGAUGAAGGUGAGAUUUCACCUGGAUGUCGCAGUUGCUGCUGGAUGACUGAGCCAUCACUGUUAUUAUUUGCGGAAUCAGUAUCUAGUUGUUGUAUGAUGUGUACAGUGCUCCGUACGAUGGUCUGACGGGACGAUGUUAGUGACUUGCGUGUGUGUCGUAGGAUACAUGUAUCUGCGCUAGUUUUAGGAGUCGUGAUGUAAUCCGUAGUGUGUCCAGGGAAAAAAAAAAUUGGUUUUGGAGUUAACUCUACUUCGUUUGGAGUUGAACCGUGUGGAGUGGUAAAAACUCUGAAUACCCGGUUUUCCUCAAAAUGUUUAUUAAGGUUAUGUGAGACUCAUGUCUUAA
RNA transcript from Rhodamnia argentea, 1347 nucleotides. It is a transcript of the gene named chromatin remodeling protein EBS, with no coding region annotated. Lineage: Eukaryota; Viridiplantae; Streptophyta; Magnoliopsida; Myrtales; Myrtaceae. The transcript has 6 exons. The record is from RefSeq and is a predicted model, not a curated record.